GACGAACGCUGGCGGCGUGCCUAAUACAUGCAAGUAGAACGCUGAAGAGAGGAGCUUGCUCUUCUUGGAUGAGUUGCGAACGGGUGAGUAACGCGUAGGUAACCUGCCUUGUAGCGGGGGAUAACUAUUGGAAACGAUAGCUAAUACCGCAUAACAAUGGAUGACACAUGUCAUUUAUUUGAAAGGGGCAAUUGCCCCACUACAAGAUGGACCUGCGUUGUAUUAGCUAGUAGGUGAGGUAACGGCUCACCUAGGCGACGAUACAUAGCCGACCUGAGAGGGUGAUCGGCCACACUGGGACUGAGACACGGCCCAGACUCCUACGGGAGGCAGCAGUAGGGAAUCUUCGGCAAUGGGGGCAACCCUGACCGAGCAACGCCGCGUGAGUGAAGAAGGUUUUCGGAUCGUAAAGCUCUGUUGUAAGUCAAGAACGAGUGUGAGAGUGGAAAGUUCACACUGUGACGGUAGCUUACCAGAAAGGGACGGCUAACUACGUGCCAGCAGCCGCGGUAAUACGUAGGUCCCGAGCGUUGUCCGGAUUUAUUGGGCGUAAAGCGAGCGCAGGCGGUUUGAUAAGUCUGAAGUUAAAGGCUGUGGCUCAACCAUAGUUCGCUUUGGAAACUGUCAAACUUGAGUGCAGAAGGGGAGAGUGGAAUUCCAUGUGUAGCGGUGAAAUGCGUAGAUAUAUGGAGGAACACCGGUGGCGAAAGCGGCUCUCUGGUCUGUAACUGACGCUGAGGCUCGAAAGCGUGGGGAGCGAACAGG
RNAcentral lists this ribosomal RNA (765 nucleotides) under uncultured Streptococcus sp. RNAcentral's name for it is "bacterial SSU rRNA". It matches the Rfam family "Bacterial small subunit ribosomal RNA", at positions 28 to 776 of the family's 1533-position model. The record is from RNAcentral. Lineage: Bacteria; Bacillati; Bacillota; Bacilli; Lactobacillales; Streptococcaceae.